This 4396-nucleotide long non-coding RNA is filed under the name Olea europaea subsp. europaea. Lineage: Eukaryota; Viridiplantae; Streptophyta; Magnoliopsida; Lamiales; Oleaceae. The record is from RNAcentral.
UGCAGGUUCAUUUCAUUGUUGCAGCUUGUGAAAAUAUGAUAAGUGGAACAGGUAUGAGACCCGGAGAUGUUAUUACAGCAUCAAAUGGAAAGACAAUUGAGGUAAUUUCUUCAUUUUGCUAUAGGAUAAUCCUGUGUCAUUAAUUCUUAGUUAAUUUUGUGAAUAUUUUCUUUUGAAUGUUCAUGCUCUCAAUUGCAAAAGGUAAAACUCUUCGCUUAGUUUUUCUCUUUAAUGUAUUGUGCUACACAAUAUUUAUUCUCACAACUCAUAUUAGAUGAUCUGUAAUGAGACUGGAUGUUAUGAGGUUUAAAUUUUCUGCAUAUUUUUUUUAAAACAUUCAUUCUAUUGAUAAAAAUGAAAAUGUAACAAAAUCUUUCUUCUCAGUUUUUUUAUACAUUUUUUUAUCCUCGCAACUGAAAUUAGAUGUAUCUGCACAAUGAAUCUGGAUUUGGUUUCAACAUGCAGGUAGAAUUUAAAGUUUUAACUUUUAACAUUCAGUUUAAUAUUGUUGAACAAUCCUGUCAUCUGGCAGAAGCUCUUACGUGUUACUCAGUCAAUGUCUGCGUUGCAUGUAAAUUUCUAUGCUCUUACAUCUUUUUUAAAGCACACCCCUUUCCUUUUCCGCUUUGUGUUCCUCAUUUGCAAUUCCCCCUGUUCAUGACAUUUCCACCAAGUAGAAUGGAAAAAAAACAGAAAGUUAGGAUCUCUUUACUCCAUUUAUAACUAUCCUUGCAGUUAUUAGGAUUCUUUUUUGUAUAUAUAUGAUGCUUUUUUUUGACACGUGCUGGGAUGUGUGUGCAAUAAAUCUUUUAACCAAUCGCUAGAGAAGAUGUUUACAUCGGCAUUUGGCGUUUAAAUACUUAGGAAUAUUUCAUUGUGCAUGUUAACACUUUAUGUUACGAAGAACUAUGUUACCCCAUUGUAUCAAUGAAAAUUGUUCGGAAAAAAUGCUUUUAUUAUGUUUGGAUAUCUCAAAUUCGAAGAUUUAAUGAAUUUGCACUAACACCUGUCCUUAAAACAUUUCUAUAAUUCAUCCUGAGCCAGUUAUGCUACUAUAUAGUUUUUCGGAUUCCAGUGUUAAGUUCUGUUAUGACCUGUCUUCUUUAAUAGUUUGGCAUUGUAUCUCCCAUUAAUUGUAGAAUGAUGUACUAGACAGAAGUUGCUUUAUUGUUGCAUGUGGUAUGGUUUUAAUUGCACGUCUAUCUGAUAAUUAAAAAGCUGACUUAGAGGAUGUUUGGUGGGGAUUAAAAUUAGAUUUUUUAGUAGAUUGCGAUAGAAGUUUUUGAAAUGUGUUGUUGAAAAGUUGUGAGACCAAUGAAAGAUGUGGUUAAUAUUUAACUUUGACUUAUAUUAAAAUCAUAUUUUAAUCCUAACCAAACAGGCUCUUAGACUAAAAUUUUCUUAUAAGUGAAUAAAUUUCAAAAUAAAUAAUUCUAUUCGUGGUAUAAGUUGGAAAUAACUAAGUAUUUACUUUGUCACUAAGGUAAGACUUACUUCCAAAAGGUAACUUUUUUUUACUUGGAAGUAAGAAAAAAGUAGGUUAUUCAAACAUGUUUAGAGGCUAAAUGUUACUUUUACUUUCUUUUUUAAGUUUAGCCAACGUGCUUUUAGUAUUUUGUAAGGUACUUACGCUUUGGUUAGUUCUUUAACCAUGUCAAUGCCUUACUCGACAAACAAGUUUAAAAGAGUCAAAACUUUGAUCUUCAAAUACGUUUCACUAUCGCUCCAUCGCAUAAUAACUGUUGCAAUUUCAUCAAAAAGUUGUCCCAUUAGGGUCUUGCCUUUUCAUUUAAAGCAAGCUUUCCACAUAUAUUCAAACAACGAUUUUAAAAUUUAUGGGACCCACUUAAGUUCAAGAUAUACUUGAAACAAUCAAUUCAAUCACCUUCAGAAGCUUGGUCUGUCUCAAUAUGCCUUUUGUUAUAUUUAUGAGUUUAUCUCACUUAUUAAGUUACUAAUUUUUUUUUUUUUUUGGCACUGAUCAUGCUUUAGGUAAACAAUAUUGACGCUGAAGAAAGACUUACAGUUGCAGAUGCUUUGGUAUAUGCUUGCAACCAAGGAGUGGAUAAAGUACACUUACAUGCCUUUACUUUUGCAUCUCUUUGGAAAACACCAUUUUUAUGGGUUUUAUUCUCUCAUCAGUUGUCCAUGUAUUUCGUUUUCUGGAACGAGUACCUAAAACGCACGAGAUAUAUGAUACACAAAUUUAAAACCUUUGAAUAAGUCAUGACACUAAAAUUUUAGGGUUCACUUUGGAUUUUGAUAUGUGUUUUUAAUCAUUUGCAGAUCGUUGAUUUGGCCACAUUGACUGGGGCUUGUUUGUUGCUCUUGGGCCCUCUAUUGCUGGUAUGUAAUUUAUAAAUCUUAUUUGUCCUGUAUUCUUUGAGAACCACCUCCGAUCCAAUAGAUUUUUUGGCUUCUUUUCAAUUUGAAAUUCAUAAAAUGUUCUUAACAUGGAGAUUCGUUGUGAAGAUCCUUGCACUGGCUUAUUCUUGAUAUAAAAAAUCAGGUGUUUUUACACCCAGUGAUGACCUGGCAAAUGAGGUAUUUGCAGCUUCAGAGGUUAGUGGGGAAAAACUUUGGUGGAUGCCCCUGGAGGAAAGUUAUUGGGAGUCCAUGAAAUCUGGAGUGGCUGAUAUGGUGAACACCGAUGGUCGCCAAGGUGGUUCCAUCACUGCAGCUCUUUCCUUGAAGCAGGUAUAGCUUCCUCCGCACCCCUUAUUCCAUGCUGAAGAUUAAGUUUGUUUUACGUUUUAAGCUUUUUACAUACAAUUUGAAAAAGAACUAUGGAAUUGCAAUUCUCGAACAAGCAAUCGAAAAGAUUCUGGAGCAUCCUCCAUUUUAGUUGUUACGAUAAUUGCCUAAGUUGUAGUUUUGAACAAUUCUUAUAGCAAGUCGAUUUCAAAUCUAGAAUAUUGGCUAUUCCGAAAAGAAUUUCAAAAUUUAACCAAUGGGCUUCUUUUUCUGAUGGCAAAAAAUAAUAAAAUAAAAAAAUCUUGUUAUGUUCCUUUUAAUCAGAGGAAAUCACUUGAUUGAAUAUGGAAAAAUUGGGUGCUGCCAUGUAGCUUAAUAUCAGCUAUGUUCAUGAGUUGAAGAUGCAUGGGUCAUUAGUGGGAGUUUAGUUUGUGCAUGGGCGUGGGUUACUUAAGUGUCGCAACAACUGAUACUCAUUUGGAGAUGUUUGCAAAUUUGACCAAUUGAGGCAGGUGAUUUUUUUAGUUGGCAAACUAACACUCCAAAUGGUGAAAGAAUCGCCCCCUCUCCAUGUCUACUGGAUCUGUUCUUGGGGAUAAGGAAAUUUUUUAUGGAUCAUUGGACAUUUUAGUUCAUCUGAAGGUCUAGAUAUGAUUGCAUAGAUUCUCUUCUUGUCUUUCCUUAAAUUACAUUUUUCCCUUCCCCUAGUUUUCUACUAAAUUCUGCAUUUUUAUUUCAUGAAUUUGAACCUCUGCACUUCAUGAAAACAGAUUUUCUUCCGAAUUUCUUAGAAAAAUUUAUUAGAUAAUACGUGUUAUAUUCCAAAGUUAUCCCAGUUCUAGCCUCUAUAAAUGCUGUAUACCAUAAGAAUUUGUUUGUAAGGUGGACUAUACAAUACUAGGCACUAUUAAGGAAGAAAAAAAUGUUAAAUCUAGUCUAUUGUAUUGCGUACCAAAGAUGUUCUAAAAGUUCUCUAAAUGUAUACCUUACAACGCUUUGUGUUUGUGGGGUGGGGGGCCCUAAUAAAGUGAAACCCAAAUGAGCUCCGACUAAUAAUAGAUUAAGAAACGAAAGCACGUGUUUGAGACUAUAAGUUGUUCCCUAGUCUGUCUCAGUGAAGGCACCUGACAUGUAACUCCGUACAUGCAGUUUGUUGAUGAGAAGGUCCAGUGGAUGCACAUUGACAUGGCUGGCCCGGUUUGGAAUGAUAAGAAGAAAAUUGCAACUGGUUUUGGUAUUUCAACACUGGUUACAUGGGUUCUAAAGAAUUCUUCUUAGUUUGGGUGUCCGUGGGGCUGCUCAGAGGACAAAUACCUUAUAUCUGAAGUCGAUUCAAGAAAAAAUGGAAAAUUCUUAUUCAGGUUGUUCGAUGGCUGGGGUGUCGAGUUAUACUAAUAAAGAUGGUUAGAGAAGAAAACGAGGCCGUUGCUGCGUUCUGGAGUCGUGAACUCUUGUUACUGUUCCUUUAUAUUAUGAGAAGUUUCUUUUAUUUUUGGCCCUAUCAUCUUGUUCCUGGGAAAAUGAAAAUAUCCCAUGUUUCUGCAUGCAAAAUGUGAUGUAAAAUGAACGCAGAUUGUUCUCGAACUUUCCUCAGCAUGGUUUACCCCAGCAUAGCUUACCAAGGCUUGAUCUCGGGCAGGAUAAAAAAAUUUCAAUGCUAAUGUGACAAUAGAAUCUUAGUUAUGACUGUAGCAAAUUUUUA